RNAcentral lists this ribosomal RNA (431 nucleotides) under uncultured bacterium. Its description in RNAcentral is "bacterial SSU rRNA". It matches the Rfam family "Bacterial small subunit ribosomal RNA", at positions 958 to 1392 of the family's 1533-position model. The record is from RNAcentral.
AACGCGAAGAACCUUACCAAGGCUUGACAUACAGCGAAAAGUGGCAGAGAUGUCAUGUCCGCAAGGGCGCUAUACAGGUGGUGCAUGGUUGUCGUCAGCUCGUGUCGUGAGAUGUUGGGUUAAGUCCCGCAACGAGCGCAACCCUCGUUCUGUGUUACCAGCAUUAUGUCGGGGACUCAUAGGAGACUGCCGGGGUCAACUCGGAGGAAGGUGGGGAUGACGUCAAAUCAUCAUGCCCCUUAUGUCUUGGGCUGCACGCAUGCUACAAUGGCCGGUACAAAGUGCUGCGAAAUCGUAAGAUUUAGCGAAUCACAUAAAGCCGGUCUCAGUUCGGAUUGAGGUCUGCAACUCGACCUCAUGAAGUCGGAGUUGCUAGUAAUCGUAGAUCAGCAACGCUACGGUGAAUACGUUCCCGGGUCUUGUACACACCG